AUACUUGUAAUAAUAUGUAAGUCUAUAUAUAUAUGUCUUGGUUUCAGCAUCCCCUGCACUCUGGGUUUGCUGACACCUGUGAUGUCCCCAAAUGCGGGAAACUCAACUGCAUAAUUUGUGGUAGUGGGGGACUGUGUUCACGUUUUCCCCUG
This 152-nucleotide small nuclear RNA is filed under the name Tauraco erythrolophus (red-crested turaco). RNAcentral's name for it is "U1 spliceosomal RNA". It matches the Rfam family "U1 spliceosomal RNA". From Rfam's summary of the family: U1 is a small nuclear RNA (snRNA) component of the spliceosome (involved in pre-mRNA splicing). Lineage: Eukaryota; Metazoa; Chordata; Aves; Musophagiformes; Musophagidae. The record is from Rfam by way of RNAcentral.